UCCGGACGUCGCUGCUUUUGAUUCGUGUCCUGUCACUCGGAUAUGCUGCAAGAAGCUAUCAGAAAGUGGCAUUGAUGAGAAGAAGCACAAACCCUCCACCAGCAAUACCACUGCCUCUAAAUCCAAGGACAGAAUGGAAGAUUACAAUUUUGCUAUGAAGAGGAUGAUGAGGAAUCCUUGUGAGUAUCACCACGAUCUGGGUAUGAAUUACACACUUAUAACUGACAAUCUCAUUGUGGGAUCCCAUCCACA
Arachis ipaensis is the source of this 252-nucleotide RNA transcript. It is a transcript of the gene named cysteine-rich receptor-like protein kinase 1, with no coding region annotated. The record is from RefSeq and is a predicted model, not a curated record. Lineage: Eukaryota; Viridiplantae; Streptophyta; Magnoliopsida; Fabales; Fabaceae.